GACCCUUUAGCUUAGUUGGUUAGAGCGUGUGAUUGUUAACCACAAGGUUGAAGGUUCGACCUUUUUAGUUUU
Molecule: transfer RNA, 72 nt
Filed under: Cicer arietinum (chickpea)
Lineage: Eukaryota; Viridiplantae; Streptophyta; Magnoliopsida; Fabales; Fabaceae
Rfam family: tRNA
About the family: Transfer RNA (tRNA) molecules are approximately 80 nucleotides in length.
Source: Rfam by way of RNAcentral